RNAcentral lists this transfer RNA (72 nucleotides) under bacterium. RNAcentral's name for it is "tRNA-Phe". It matches the Rfam family "tRNA". From Rfam's summary of the family: Transfer RNA (tRNA) molecules are approximately 80 nucleotides in length. Their secondary structure includes four short double-helical elements and three loops (D, anti-codon, and T loops). Further hydrogen bonds mediate the characteristic L-shaped molecular structure. tRNAs have two regions of fundamental functional importance: the anti-codon, which is responsible for specific mRNA codon recognition, and the 3' end, to which the tRNAs corresponding amino acid is attached (by aminoacyl-tRNA synthetases). tRNAs cope with the degeneracy of the genetic code in two manners: having more than one tRNA (with a specific anti-codon) for a particular amino acid; and 'wobble' base-pairing, i.e. permitting non-standard base-pairing at the 3rd anti-codon position. The record is from RNAcentral.
GCCGCGAUAGCUCAGUGGUAGAGCGCAUCCCUGAAGAGGAUGGCGUCGUCAGUUCGAUUCUGACUCGCGGCA